Quercus lobata is the source of this 979-nucleotide long non-coding RNA. RefSeq lists it as uncharacterized. Lineage: Eukaryota; Viridiplantae; Streptophyta; Magnoliopsida; Fagales; Fagaceae. The transcript is spliced from 2 exons. The record is from RefSeq and is a predicted model, not a curated record.
UUCUAUUUCUUUUCUUUCUUCCGUUUAUCACACAAUGACAGAGCUCUCAGCUCUCACAGACAGCGCUCAAACUCUCAUCCUCCACGAAGGCCUUAGCUUCACCGAUUCCCAUCAUCCUCAUCCACAAGCUCUCACCGAUUCAUCAACCUCCUCACCGCCGCCACCGAAGCUCACGCACCAUUGCCGAAGCUCACGCAUCAUCGCCGACCCACGCACCAUCGCCGACCCGAUUCAUCAUCCUCCUCACCCACUUCGAAGCCCAGCUCAUCUCUGCCGAAGCCGCCGCUGCCUUUCUCAGCCCAUUGCUUUGGUUUUCUGCCGAUCUUAGGGCAUAGAGCUCAGUAACCCGCAGGCUCAUGCCCACCAGCUUGGCAGUGGAAUUCAAAGAUCAAGCGGACCUGAAGCGUUUUAUGCUGCUUUCCUCUCUUCAGUCUGUGUACAUUGAAUGAUGCUAGUUUGAGGAAUAUGAUAAAAGGAAACUCUUGUCAUAAGAUUUUUCCCUUGGCAUAAGGUGGCAAAUCAACCUGAACUACAAGUAACUUCAAUAUUCAACAUUAGCUAGUGUUUAACCCAAAAUGUAAACAUAUUGAGAGAUUUCUUUUUCCAGAGUGAUUGAAAUUACAUGAAAAAGAGUGUUGAAGCACAUCUUUUUUCUUUGUUGGUUGAAAUGACUUUUCCUAUUGAGAUUAGGCUUGAACUUAUUAAGGAAAGGAUAGGAAAAUGAUUCGAUUAAAAGAUUACAAACAGAUCUCACUAAUCAUGCCUUAGUGAGUAUCUUUUUAAGAAUUAAAUUUGUACAUUAUGUCAAUUGCAAGGCGAGUCAUAGGAACUUCUUUUUUUAUAUUUUGAGAAGCAUGAGUCAUAGGAACUUGUGCGAGUGUGUGAGUUUUAUUGUAAUUUGAUUUGAGUUAUGUAUAUGAAUAAUCUAUUGAUUACAUUGUUCCAGUUAUAAUAUGUGUUCUCUUUUAUAUGUUUUUUU